UUUUAGCCCAGAUUGCAAUGGAAAUCCUUUUUUAUUGUUUUUUUGAAAGACGUCUUUCCCGAAACUUCGGGAUGCAAUAAACGUUACAAAAACAAUAAAAAAGAUUGUAAUGGAAAGCUGGACACGAG
RNAcentral lists this small RNA (128 nucleotides) under Flavobacterium dankookense. Its description in RNAcentral is "Flavobacterium sp. ARSA-19 Flavo-1 RNA". It matches the Rfam family "Flavo-1 RNA". Lineage: Bacteria; Pseudomonadati; Bacteroidota; Flavobacteriia; Flavobacteriales; Flavobacteriaceae. The record is from Rfam by way of RNAcentral.